AUCAUGAUCUCUGCUUCCAAAACACUUCAGGACUGAUCAAGCAAACUCCUGCUGCACGAGGGAAAUAUUGACAAGGAGAAAAGAAGCGCUUUGCCAACCAAGCAGAGUUUGUGCUGAACAGAACACUUGACCAUGCUGCUUCCCAGUCUCUCUCAUGCUCUCUGCAUAGCCAGGACAAAGACAUUCAGAUGGAGGAAGACUGAGCUCCGGUCAGAGCUGUUGAUCCAGGACCCCUUGACACUCCAUUUUAAAAUCAAAGUAUUUUGAAACAAAACUUCCUUAAUGAGCAC
Molecule: long non-coding RNA, 290 nt
Organism: Symphalangus syndactylus (siamang)
Lineage: Eukaryota; Metazoa; Chordata; Mammalia; Primates; Hylobatidae
Source: RefSeq, a predicted model, not a curated record